AACUAACAAGGAUUCCCUCAGUAACGGCGAGUGAAGAGGGAAGAGCUCAGUUUUGAAAUCUGGCAGUGAUUCACUGUCCGAGUUGUAAAUUGAAGAGAAUGUCAUCCACGCUGGACCACGUCUAAAUUGUAAUGAUCCACAGUCCUUUGAUGGAGUAUCAGAGAGGGUAAUAAUCCCGUCUUURACGUGGACUGCCAGUGUUUCUGUGAUGCACUCUCUCAGAGUCGAGUAGUUUGGGAAUGCUGCUCUAAUGGGAGGUAAACUCCUUCUAAAGCUAAAUAUUGGCGAGAGACCGAURGCGAACAAGUACCGUGAGGGAAAGAUGAAAAGAACUCUGAAAAGAGAGUCAAAUAGAACGUGAAAUUGCUGAAAGGGAAGCGUUUGGAGUCAGACGCGUCUUCAUGCARUACAGCUCAKUGGCAGAGACUUUGAGACAAGUUACUUGAAGACGGGCCAGCACUCACGAAGACCAUUGAAGAAGGGGUCAUGGAAUGUAGCUCAGUGCUGAGUGAUUAUAGCCUUGAUUCAAAAGCAAUGUGUCCUUUGUGAGAGAUGGACAGCACGGACAACAGUUCAGUGCUUGAUUGACUGGCAUAAUGGCUCUAAGCGACCCGUCUUGAAACACGGACCAAGGAGUCUAACAUGUAUGCGAGUAUUAGAGUGAUUGAAACUCUGAAUGCGCAAUGAAAGUGUUUUUGACUGAGAAUCCUCUGGGAGGCAUCAGUACCCCGAGUCUGUUAGUCUUUGACUAAAGAUUUGGAGGUAGAGCAUAUAUGUUGGGACCCGAAAGAUGGUGAACUAUGCCUGAAUAGGGUGAAGUCAGAGGAAACUCUGAUGGACGCCCGUAGCGAUUCUGACGUGCAAAUCGAUCGUAGAAUUUGGGUAUAGGGGCGAAAGACUAAUCGAACCAUCUAGUAGCWGGU
RNAcentral lists this ribosomal RNA (923 nucleotides) under Craterellus fallax. RNAcentral describes it as "partial large subunit ribosomal RNA". It matches the Rfam family "Eukaryotic large subunit ribosomal RNA", at positions 63 to 955 of the family's 3401-position model. Lineage: Eukaryota; Fungi; Basidiomycota; Agaricomycetes; Cantharellales; Hydnaceae. The record is from RNAcentral.